AGAGUUUGAUCCUGGCUCAGAACGAACGCUGGCGGCAGGCUUAACACAUGCAAGUCGAGCGCCCCGCAAGGGGAGCGGCAGACGGGUGAGUAACGCGUGGGAAUCUACCCAUCUCUACGGAAUAACCCAGGGAAACUUGGACUAAUACCGUAUACGCCCUUCGGGGGAAAGAUUUAUCGGAGAUGGAUGAGCCCGCGUUGGAUUAGCUAGUUGGUGGGGUAAAGGCCUACCAAGGCGACGAUCCAUAGCUGGUCUGAGAGGAUGAUCAGCCACAUUGGGACUGAGACACGGCCCAAACUCCUACGGGAGGCAGCAGUGGGGAAUAUUGGACAAUGGGCGAAAGCCUGAUCCAGCCAUGCCGCGUGAGUGAUGAAGGCCCUAGGGUUGUAAAGCUCUUUCAACGGUGAAGAUAAUGACGGUAACCGUAGAAGAAGCCCCGGCUAACUUCGUGCCAGCAGCCGCGGUAAUACGAAGGGGGCUAGCGUUGUUCGGAAUUACUGGGCGUAAAGCGCACGUAGGCGGAUACUUAAGUUAGGGGUGAAAUCCCGGGGCUCAACCCCGGAACUGCCUUUAAUACUGGGUAUCUUGAGUUCGAGAGAGGUGAGUGGAAUUCCGAGUGUAGAGGUGAAAUUCGUAGAUAUGCGGAGGAACACCGAUGGCGAAGGCAACUCCCUGGGCCUGCACUGACGCUCAUGCACGAAAGCGUGGGGAGCAAACAGGAUUAGAUACCCUGGUAGUCG
This 740-nucleotide ribosomal RNA is filed under the name uncultured bacterium. Its description in RNAcentral is "bacterial SSU rRNA". It matches the Rfam family "Bacterial small subunit ribosomal RNA", at positions 8 to 796 of the family's 1533-position model. The record is from RNAcentral.